AAUUCACAGGACGAGUGAAAUCCUCCCCAUCCAUUGUUGUGAGCAUCAAAGCUCCGCCUGAAAAGGCUCUCUUAACAACAUAUGGACCCUCGUAGUUUGGAGUCCACUUGCCCCUGGAAUCGGGCGCGAAAGACAAGACUUUCUUGAGCACGAGGUCACCUUCUCGGAACACACGUGGCUUGACCUUCUUAUCGAAUGCUUUCUUCAUUUUCUGCUGAUAUAACUGACCAUGACACAUGGCAGUCAAUCGCUUCUCUUCGAUCAAAUUCAACUGGUCAUAACGACUCUGAAUCCAUUCAGCAUCAGUCAACUAGGGAUUUGAGGGUAUACUUUUUUCUUUUUC
RNAcentral lists this long non-coding RNA (343 nucleotides) under Lathyrus oleraceus (garden pea). Its description in RNAcentral is "Pisum sativum (pea) long non-coding RNA (PSAT_LNC006685)". The record is from RNAcentral. Lineage: Eukaryota; Viridiplantae; Streptophyta; Magnoliopsida; Fabales; Fabaceae.